AAGUCGUAACAAGGUUUCCGUAGGUGAACCUGCGGAAGGAUCAUCAUUGUAGGAGUGAGGUCCCUUUUUUUGAGGCCUUAACAACCUUUUUAGAGUCCCAGCAAACAGACAGCAAGGGGGAGCAAUUGGCUGAGACAGGAAGCGAGGGAAACAGGAAACAACUUUCAACAACGGAUCUCUUGGCUCUCA
RNAcentral lists this unclassified non-coding RNA (189 nucleotides) under fungal sp. RNAcentral describes it as "partial internal transcribed spacer region". The stretch from base 1 to 46 matches the Rfam family "Eukaryotic small subunit ribosomal RNA", at positions 1786 to 1831 of the family's 1831-position model. The record is from RNAcentral. Lineage: Eukaryota; Fungi.